CCGUUCUCAGUUCGGAUCGGAGUCUGCAACCCGACUCCGUGAAGCUGGAUUCGCUAGUAAUCGCGGAUCAGCAUGCCGCGGUGAAUACGUUCCCGGGCCUUGUACACACCGCCCGUCACACCAUGGGAGCCGGUAAUACCCGAAGUCAGUAGUCCAACCUCGUGAGGACGCUGCCGAAGGUAGGAUUGGCGACUGGGGUGAAGUCGUAACAAGGUACC
This 218-nucleotide ribosomal RNA is filed under the name uncultured bacterium. RNAcentral's name for it is "partial 16S ribosomal RNA". It matches the Rfam family "Bacterial small subunit ribosomal RNA", at positions 1282 to 1500 of the family's 1533-position model. The record is from RNAcentral.